AGCAGCCGCGGUAAUUCCAGCUCCAAUAGCGUAUAUUAAAGUUGCCGCAGUUAAAAGCUCGUAGUUGAAUUUCGGGAUCAUCAUGUCGGUCGUGCCUCGGUACGUACUGGCAUUGUUGGUUUCUACCUUCUGACGAACCAUGAUGUCAUUUAUUUGGUGUCGUGGGAAAUCAGGACUGUUACUUUGAAAAAUUGAGUGUUUAAAGCAGGCUCACGCUUGAGUACAUUAGCAUGGAAUAAUGAAAUAGGACGUUUGAUUCUAUUUUGUUGGUUUCUAGGAUCGACGUAAUGAUUAAUAGGGAUAGUUGGGGGCAUUAGUAUUCAAUUGUCAGAGGUGAAAUUCUUGGAUUUAUUGAAGACUAACUACUGCGAAAGCAUUUGCCAAGGAUGUUUCAUUAAUCAAGAACGAAAGUUAGGGAUCGAAGACGAUCAGAUACCGUCGUAG
RNAcentral lists this unclassified non-coding RNA (444 nucleotides) under uncultured Glomus. Its description in RNAcentral is "SSU rRNA". It matches the Rfam family "Eukaryotic small subunit ribosomal RNA", at positions 569 to 1023 of the family's 1831-position model. Lineage: Eukaryota; Fungi; Glomeromycota; Glomeromycetes; Glomerales; Glomeraceae. The record is from RNAcentral.